RNAcentral lists this ribosomal RNA (620 nucleotides) under Bacillus siamensis. RNAcentral's name for it is "bacterial SSU rRNA". It matches the Rfam family "Bacterial small subunit ribosomal RNA", at positions 82 to 687 of the family's 1533-position model. Lineage: Bacteria; Bacillati; Bacillota; Bacilli; Caryophanales; Bacillaceae. The record is from RNAcentral.
CUCCCUGAUGUUAGCGGCGGACGGGUGAGUAACACGUGGGUAACCUGCCUGUAAGACUGGGAUAACUCCGGGAAACCGGGGCUAAUACCGGAUGGUUGUUUGAACCGCAUGGUUCAGACAUAAAAGGUGGCUUCGGCUACCACUUACAGAUGGACCCGCGGCGCAUUAGCUAGUUGGUGAGGUAACGGCUCACCAAGGCGACGAUGCGUAGCCGACCUGAGAGGGUGAUCGGCCACACUGGGACUGAGACACGGCCCAGACUCCUACGGGAGGCAGCAGUAGGGAAUCUUCCGCAAUGGACGAAAGUCUGACGGAGCAACGCCGCGUGAGUGAUGAAGGUUUUCGGAUCGUAAAGCUCUGUUGUUAGGGAAGAACAAGUGCCGUUCAAAUAGGGCGGCACCUUGACGGUACCUAACCAGAAAGCCACGGCUAACUACGUGCCAGCAGCCGCGGUAAUACGUAGGUGGCAAGCGUUGUCCGGAAUUAUUGGGCGUAAAGGGCUCGCAGGCGGUUUCUUAAGUCUGAUGUGAAAGCCCCCGGCUCAACCGGGGAGGGUCAUUGGAAACUGGGGAACUUGAGUGCAGAAGAGGAGAGUGGAAUUCCACGUGUAGCGGUGAAAU